GAUGAACGCUGGCGGCAUGCCUAAUACAUGCAAGUCGAGCGAACCGACGAGGAGCUUUCUCCUCUGACGUUAGCGGCGGACGGGUGAUUCACUCGUGUAUAAACUACCUAUAGGACUGGUAUACCUACGCCGAACCGGCGCUAAUACCGGAUAAUAUAUUGACCCUCAUGGUUCCAUCGUCAAAGUCGGUUUUGCUGUCACUUAUAGAUGGAUCCGCGCCGCAUUAGCUAGUUGGUAAGGUAACGUCUUACCAAGGCGUGGAUGGGUAGCCGACCUGAGAGGGUCAUCGACCACCCGGGAUCAGAGAAAGAGUCCACACACCGACGGUGGGCAGCAGUAGGGAAUCUUCCGCGAGGGGGGAGAGCCGGACCGAGCAAAGCCGCGGAAGUGAUGAAGGUCUUAUGAUGGUAAAACUAUGUUGUUAGUGAAGAACAAAUGUGUUAGUAACUAUGACGAUCUUGACGGUACCCAAUCAGAAAGCCACGGCUAACUACGUG
Molecule: ribosomal RNA, 497 nt
Filed under: uncultured bacterium
Lineage: Bacteria
Description: partial 16S ribosomal RNA
Rfam family: Bacterial small subunit ribosomal RNA
Source: RNAcentral